RNAcentral lists this small nuclear RNA (102 nucleotides) under Dasypus novemcinctus (nine-banded armadillo). Lineage: Eukaryota; Metazoa; Chordata; Mammalia; Cingulata; Dasypodidae. The record is from RNAcentral.
GCGCUCACUUCAGCACAUAUACUAAAAUUGGAAUGAUAGAGAAGACGAGCAGGGCCCCUGUACAAGGAAGACAAGUGAAUUUGUGAAGGGUGCCAUAUUUUU